Molecule: ribosomal RNA, 492 nt
Filed under: uncultured bacterium
Lineage: Bacteria
Description: partial 16S ribosomal RNA
Rfam family: Bacterial small subunit ribosomal RNA
Source: RNAcentral
AGUGAACGCUGGCGGUAGGCCUAACACAUGCAAGUCGAACGGCAGCACAGUAAGAGCUUGCUCUUACGGGUGGCGAGUGGCGGACGGGUGAGGAAUACAUCGGAAUCUACUUUUUCGUGGGGGAUAACGUAGGGAAACUUACGCUAAUACCGCAUACGACCUACGGGUGAAAGCAGGGGAUCUUCGGACCUUGCGCGAUUGAAUGAGCCGAUGUCGGAUUAGCUAGUUGGCGGGGUAAAGGCCCACCAAGGCGACGAUCCGUAGCUGGUCUGAGAGGAUGAUCAGCCACACUGGAAGUGAGACACGGUCCAGACUCCUAAGGGAGGCAGCAGUGGGGAAUAUUAGACAAAGGGCGCAAGCAUGAUCCAGCCAUACCGCGUGGGUGAAGAAGGCCUUCGGGUUGUAAAGCCCUUUUGUUGGGAAAGAAAAGCAGCAGGUUAAUACCCCGCUGUUCUGACGGUACCCAAAGAAUAAGCACCGGCUAACUUCGUG